RNAcentral lists this long non-coding RNA (6008 nucleotides) under Zea mays. RNAcentral's name for it is "long non-coding RNA (ZMAY_LNC000903)". Lineage: Eukaryota; Viridiplantae; Streptophyta; Magnoliopsida; Poales; Poaceae. The record is from RNAcentral.
UCCUAUAGGUGUUGUGCCACCGUUGACCUAGCCACCUCCGUCACGCAGGCCUCUCUCCUACGGUUCAAGCAGGCCGCAGCCUCAAAGAAGACCAACUUGUCAUUGAGCGUCCUGUUCUUCCUUUCCACCACUCCAUUUUGUUGUGGUGUGUAAGGGGCGAAGAACCCGUGCUUGAUGUGUUCCUCCUCAAGGUACUCUUUAACUUGAAGGUUCUUGAACUUCGUGUCAUUGUCUCUUCUUAUCUUCUUUAUCCUCAAGUCAAUCUGUAACACCCCGGGAUCCACAAACACCCCAGAAUGCUACUAAACUACACAUCUAAUAUUCAUAUAUAAAAUUUCGACAGCAUCUCCUUUGAAAAUUGCAUAAACGGGGAAAGCAACAAAGUAUAAAUAGAUAUCAUGAUAAGAAAACAUAUAAGACAUUAAUAAUCUGCUAGCAAUGGGAAGACAACCAUAACAACAUGAACUGAAUUAAUCAGUGCGCACGACUAGUUAAAAACAAACAUCCUUUGACAAGAAGUUUCUAAUUAAAUCAUGGCUGCGUCUGGGCAGCAUUAUUAUGAGAAUGAAGGUGGAUGUGCUGCUACUUCCCACUCCCCUUGAUGAGCAACAAGCACCUGCAUUGAGUAAUGCAAGAGUGAGAUGAAACAUCUCAGCAAGCUAAUUGUUCUGACGAGAUAUUUAAACCACAAAUUGAAUUCAUCAACAUUUUAAAAGAGUCACAAUUAAAAAUCAGAAAUGCUUGUAGAUAUAGAACUCAGUAGUCCCACUAUAACCAAUACCAUCUCAUUUCCUCGAACAACCACAAUAGGUUCUAUAACACUUCCCUGCGUCAACAAUACCUGCAAAUAUCACUUCAAUGUAUGCAUAGGAAUGCAAUGUGUAGGUACUCUAUCUUCAUACCUCUGGGGGUAUAAAACCACAUCAUCUGCAAAUAUCACUUCAAUGAAUGCAUAUGAAUGCAAUGCAUAUGUCCUCUGCCUUCAUACCUCUAAGGGUAUGAAGCCGCAUCGUACCCCUUCUCGGGCAACGUACGAUGCUAAGUUGUACCGGUACGGUCGGACCAUAGGUCACGACAAAACUUCAUAUGCAAAUGAGUCAUGCAAUGUAUAUGGCAUGCUACAUUUAUCAAUAAACUUCACUUCCUUCAGAUACAACACAAACCUCAAAUAAUACUUCAUUUACCUUCAGAUACAAUACCAACCUCAAAUAAUACUUCAUUUACCUUCAGGGGUGUGAAUUAAUCUCAUGAGUCAUACUCAAAUCAUAAUCAUCAUCAAUAUAUGAUUGAGCAUCAGUAUAAUGCAAGCAAGUAAAGCAUCACCAUAGAGUCCAAUUAUGAAAGAAUCUGAUACUUCUGAAUAUUAGAGUGUAGGCGAUAGAAAUAACAGGUCAGAACGGAAGCAACCACCGCUACAUUCACUUGCCUUCAUCGAAGAAGAAGAAAUGUACUAGACAUGAUCUGGAGUGUAGCCACCUGCUAGUGGGCAUAAAACUUAGUACAAAUAUUUCACAAACAUUUGCCAUCAAUCAACAAAACACUCCUACACUUGAAACCAAGACCCAGUGGAAAGACUCCCACCCUGAACCACAUGCCAUACAGCAGCAACGCUGUUUGUUAAUUUUGUAUCUUUAAAAUUAAAACAGCGGUGAUAUCAAACAAAUACUCUAGGAGUAUCUACACAAAAUACUCUACAACUUCAGUAUUCAAUAGAUAAUUAAAUUCUGCCAUCUACAAGUUCUAAAACAUCUGACAAGAUAACUGACUGAAUCUGUUUUAGACAGCAGUAUGGUUAACUUUAAAAUUCGAUAUCUCCAAAACUGCUGAACCAAAAAUUAUGAAAUUCUGCUGGAAGUAAGAACUUGUAUCCCUCUACAAAAGUCUCCAUAGUUGGAAGAGCCAAUUCGGCCAUUUACUAGAUGAAACCCACCAGUGAACAGACCCACUCAUUUUUGUCAGGUAAACAGGAACAGCCACAGUAAAACAAACAUAACUGGAGUUUCACAAAUCAUAUGAAUGCACUCUUUAACAAUCUGGAAAGCUUAUAAAAUUAUCUACAACUUCUUUUACCAACCCACAGUUUAAUUCUGUUGAUAAAAUUGCCUAAAUCUUAAGAGAACAGAUUCUGCACAGAAUUAUGAGACUGAAAAACUGCUAUAGUAAAACUGCAAUAACUUUCUGGUCGGAUGUCCGAUUGAGGUGUUCUUCGCGGCCACGGAAAGAUCUACAAAUUAUCUACGACUCAUACAUAGACUUUUUAUUUUUUUGAGGCCACUAAGACCACGGAAAACUGGCAUGAACAGAAACUGUCGAAUCUGCCAUUCUGCAGAAAACUAAAUUCGAGAUCAAAACCUAACCCCACAUCAAAUCCAACCUCUAAUCCUUUAAUUCCCAUGAUCCACAACCUCCAAAAGCCUAUAAUUACAGGGAGGAACAAGGAUCUCAUCCAUACCUAGGGUUUCCCCAAGAAAUCUUCAAGAGGAGAUGGGGAAGAACAUCUCCUUGAUCCUCUCUUCCUCUUCAAUUCAACGUGCCCCUCCUUUUCUCGAUCCUUGCUGCGUAGGGGGAGAUCUUGGGGGAGGAAGCAAUGGAGGAUGGCUGCCAUAGGGGGAGGGGGCGUCCAGCCAAGGGGGAGAAAAAGGGGGUGGCGGCCAAGAGGGGGGGGGGGGGUGAAGGGAAAAAAAGGGGUGGCCACCUAGGGUUUUUGUGGGAGAAAGAAACGACGCCUCAGAUGACUUCUAUCUUUGCAUCCAAUGGCCCACAACCCUUUACCUCAUCCACGCACCAGAGAUUAACUUUUGGUCAACAUUUUUUUUGGGAUAUUACACUCUACCCCCCUUAAAAAGAAUUCGACCUCGAAUUCGGCCACUCCAAGCAAAACACCCAAGGUACCCCAUAUAGCACCACAAUUCAAAACAUGGGUCCAUUAUUGGUCUUAAUUAACACAAGAACUUCUACCUUGGACUAAUUGUCUAAGGAAACUACACGACCUGACAUCAAGCAUGAAACAACAUGUAAUGAAGCUCAAAGCAUGUCAUAGUUGCAAUCAACACUCCAAUUUCACACCAUCAAAUUUGGAUGCAGCUAUACAUCAACAUCAAUGUCUUAAGACAACACUCUUUUAUGAAGGGGUAAUAUGCACCAAGCACAACCCUUACCAACUUCAACCAUUAAUUUUAAUUAAAUGGUGAAACAUCUACACCCGACGAAUGUAUAAGAAGAUCAAACACCUCACCUUAAAGCACUAUGAAACAAGUAGUUCUAUUGGAACAAAACUCCUAAUCUUCCUAAACCUUAUUCUUGCCAUCAUGAAAAUAUAAUCAUGUAAUCUAACAUUCCUUGCACCCCACCAAAAGGGAGAAAAUCUAUAGAACUAAUGGAGCAAUAAAGCCAAAAGAAGUCAAUAACAUCUUAUGCGGCAUAGUUCAUCGAAGAAAUGCCAAAAACUCUACAUAGAGCACUGAUAGCCCAACAACAACACAAUACUUGCUUAACCCAUGUCACUAUACUUCAUUCAACAUCUCAACUAAGAAAAAUAUCCAACUAGUAAGGAUAACCUACACAUAAUAUAAGUCUUCAUCUACUGUAGUUCAGAAACUUACAUUUCAUUCUAUCAUACGAUGCACUCAAAGUACCAGACAUACAAAGUCAAGUAAAGCCAGAGCUUUCUUCAGUAAGGUCCUGAUCUCUGAGGUUGGAAAUGGGUAUAGUACCCUUUUCUGGUCUGAUAAUUGGCUGCAGGGUAAAAGCAUCUCGACCAUUGCCCCUAGUCUGCAUUCUAUAAUCCCAAAGAGGAUAGCAAAAAGUAGAACAGUCCAUGAGGCAUUGCUAAACAGAAGAUGGAUAUCUGACAUUAGAGGUAGUCUCACUGUUGGAGUUUUGGCGGAUUAUUUAAAGCUCUAGGAUUGUCUCUCUGAAAUUGAGCUACACCCCCUCACUGAAGACAGGCAUAUCUUUAGUGUAGCCCCAGAUGGAAAGUAUUCAGCUAAAACAGCUUACAAGGGCCUCUUCCUGGGUUCAUGCUCAUUUGGCCACUAUAAGCGGGUUUGGAAAACUUGGGCUCCAGCAAAAUGUCGUUUCUUCCUCUGGCUGGUGGCUCAUAACAGGUGCUGGACUGCUGACAGAUUGGAAAAAAGGGGGCUCAUUCAUCCAAGCACCUGUCCAUUAUGUGACCAAGAACCUGAAUCCAUUAACCACCUACUGGUCUCAUGUGUGUUUGCAAGGAGUUUCUGGUAUAAUCUGCUUAGAAAAUUUGGGUUGGAUAACCUUGCUCCCCAACCGGGCCUAACAUCCUUUCUGGAAUGGUGGGAGACAGCUUCUGAAACAGUUCAUGGAAUGACCAAGAACGGAUUGAGCUCUCUGAUCUCUUUGGGGGCCUGGAUGAUCUGGAAUCACCGUAAUAGAUGUGUGUUUGAUGGUCAAGCUCCCAGUCUCCCAUCUAUCCUUCGGCAGGCAGACGACGAGAGACGUCUUUGGGAAUUAGCUGGGGCCAAGGGUCUCUCCUUUUUGGCAGCCCCUCAUCUCUAGUAGUGUUUUUGAGUCCGGUUUCCAUGGAUUCUUUCGCUUAUGUGCGUUACUGGCCUCCGUAAGGAGUCAUUGCUGUAAUCUGUGGUCUAUUUUAGACCUUAUUAUCUCCUUCUUAAUAUAUUUAAGGCGCAGUUCCCCUGCGCUUUCGAGAAAAAAAAACAAAGUCAAUAAUAAUAACCCCUAAUCCUUCACACAUUUGACAAACAUAUUAAGCUGAUGUAAACACCACAUGAUCUAGGAAUAGGUGACUAGCCACACCCAACCAACUCUAGGCUAGGCAAGGACUUCCUUCAAACCAAUAGAUAGGUGGUCUAAAAAAAAUGGCUCCACAAGCAUGCAUCGAAAAGGGAACCAUCAGAUCCUCAAUGUAUCAAUACAUAAUCAAUGGAUCAAGAGAAUCAAAGAUUUAUUCUACAAUUAGUAUGACUAACAGGCAACCACUUUAAACCACAUCUAGGCUUUGUGGCAACUAAAACACACAAUAUGAGAGAGACAUGUAAGCCAUUCUGGCUAUGAAAAGACUUCCCCCAAAAAUCCAUAUAAAGUACCAAUAUUCAUUUCUUUCAAAACUGGUUUCUCAACAUAAACAAUCAUUCUUUGCAAUGAUAGUUGGAGCUAUCCACCAACCGCUCAACAACUUAAAUUCAAAUUGAUGAUUACCUUGUACCCCAAAACACGCAAUUCACACUCCUCUUAGAAACAUCCACAAUCAAGCAUAUAUAACAAUAUUAUUGUAAUAAAACUCAACCAUGAAAAACAUGGUGAAAACAACAUAGGCAUACUUGUAUAUCACAAGCAUAAUAAUAACUUUAUUCUCACCAAUGACCAGCGAUAUCUACCGCAUUAAUAAAACAAUAUCAAAAUUUCAGAAAUAAAUUAUAUCAAGCAUUAAGCCAUAAACAACUUACCACAUCACCGUAAAGGAAUAGGGAGGGGUGAAACUAUUGUCAUCUGCACUCCAAAGACAUUAAUAUAUAUCAAAGAUAUUUGAACCCAUACCCUUCCUAUAUGUGCAAGUGUGUCAAAUUUAUCUUCAAAUUGCCAAGAAUCUAAAGCCUAUGCUUUGAUACCAACUAUAACACCCCGGGAUCCACAAACACCCCAGAAUGCUACUAAACUACACAUCUAAUAUUCAUAUAUAAAAUUUCGACAGCAUCUCCUUUGAAAAUUGCAUAAACGGGGAAAGCAACAAAGUAUAAAUAGAUAUCAUGAUAAGAAAACAUAUAAGACAUUAAUAAUCUGCUAGCAAUGGGAAGACAACCAUAACAACAUGAACUGAAUUAAUCAGUGCGCACGACUAGUUAAAAACAAACAUCCUUUGACAAGAAGUUUCUAAUUAAAUCAUGGCUGCGUCUGGGCAGCAUUAUUAUGAGAAUGAAGGUGGAUGUGCUGCUACUUCCCACUCCCCUUGAUGAGCAACAAGCACCUGCAUUGAGUAAUGCAAGAGUGAGAUGAAACAUCUCAGCAAGCUAAUUGUUCUG